This 243-nucleotide ribosomal RNA is filed under the name uncultured bacterium. RNAcentral describes it as "partial 16S ribosomal RNA". It matches the Rfam family "Bacterial small subunit ribosomal RNA", at positions 15 to 248 of the family's 1533-position model. The record is from RNAcentral.
GAUCCUGGCUCAGGAUGAACGCUAGCUACAGGCUUAACACAUGCAAGUCGGGGGGCAGCAUGAACUUAGCUUGCUAAGUUUGAUGGCGACCGGCGCACGGGUGAGUAACACGUAUCCAACCUUCCGUUUACUCAGGGAUAGCCUUUCGAAAGAAAGAUUAAAUACCUGAUAGUAUGGUGAGAUUGCAUGAUAGCACCAUUAAAGAUUUAUUGGUAAACGAUGGGGAUGCGUUCCAUUAGGUAG